CGGGGAAUUUUGGACAAUGGGGGAAACCCUGAUCCAGCCAUCCCGCGUGUGCGAUGAAGGCCUUCGGGUUGUAAAGCACUUUUGGCAGGAAAGAAACGUCAUGGGUUAAUACCCCGUGAAACUGACGGUACCUGCAGAAUAAGCACCGGCUAACUACGUGCCAGCAGCCGCGGUAAUACGUAGGGUGCAAGCGUUAAUCGGAAUUACUGGGCGUAAAGCGUGCGCAGGCGGUUCGGAAAGAAAGAUGUGAAAUCCCAGAGCUCAACUUUGGAACUGCAUUUUUAACUACCGGGCUAGAGUGUGUCAGAGGGAGGUGGAAUUCCGCGUGUAGCAGUGAAAUGCGUAGAUAUGCGGAGGAACACCGAUGGCGAAGGCAGCCUCCUGGGAUAACACUGACGCUCAUGCACGAAAGCGUGGGGAGCAAACAGG
This 429-nucleotide ribosomal RNA is filed under the name Acidobacteriota bacterium. Its description in RNAcentral is "Acidobacteria bacterium partial 16S ribosomal RNA". It matches the Rfam family "Bacterial small subunit ribosomal RNA", at positions 355 to 776 of the family's 1533-position model. The record is from RNAcentral. Lineage: Bacteria; Pseudomonadati; Acidobacteriota.